GCUGAAGGACUCGCUUUUCGCCGAGCUUGUGCCCGUCUUGGUCACUUGCCUUUCAUCGGUAUUUCAUGAUUAACUCCUGUGUAAAGGUACUUCUCUUGACUGGCUUUCUGGCAACAAUGGUGAUGCGUGUGCUCAAAAACGACUUCAAUAUAAGGAUCAUGUUCAGUAAGAUCUUAAAUGUGUAUUCUAUUUUCACACAUUAAUCGUCGCCUUAAAUGUUAGUAAUACGUGAUGUCAUAGGUGCUUACUGUUGAUUAUUCGUGGUGUACACUUCUGGAGAUAUCUCUUGUGACACUGCGCCCCCUACACAAGCAUAGUCCGCGCAUUCAGCAAGGCUCGGAGCUGAGAAUGGCGUGCCUAAUUAGUUGUCCAUUAGUACCAUGAAUAAUAAAUCAAUGUUAUUGUGUGCCCUAAUAACUUACGGAUUUGUUGUGUGACUGGUGUUGAUAUUGACCUGCAUCCCUUGAACUUGAUCAAGAAUAUUCUACUGAUCUAUUGCUUCAGAAGUUUCACCAUAAAAAUUACUUUUAUUUGAAGUAGAAUAAUCUUUUGAUCGAGUAAUUUUCCUAUUUUUUACACGCGCAAUUCUUCAUGAUAUUGUAUUUUUGUAAUUAAUUCUCGUGCAUAUGUAGUUUGAGAAAAUUGUUAAUCAACAACGUCAUGUUGAACACCUGUGUGAAAGGUUUUAUUCCAACAUACUUAAAUAAGUUGUUUUUGCAACUCUUUAGCAUUGUGAUGGUCUUGAUUUAUUAUCUUAGCAUCAUGUGGCAAGUCUGGCAUUUUUUCAAGGAUUCUUCUCACAUGAAGUUUAAAACGUGUCUCUUUUUUGUUUGUUAUUGAAACCUCAAAUCAGGUGGGAGAUGAGUAGUCAUUGGUUCACUUGUCAAAUUUUAGGCAUCAACGAUAAUAUGGUCUCAAGUGGAUGUUGCUUGAUGGAUUUGAGUCAUCUUCAACAAGUGGAAGACCCAAGUUGGUUUGCAUCUCUCCUCCUCUUGGAUUGCACGAUCUAUGCAGGACAUUCCCAUCGAGGUUUGUUUCUAUACAAUACUAUAGCACCAGAUUUGAUCUUUGACCACUCUAUUUUUAUAUUCUAUUUUGUAACCGUAUUGUUCAUAAUUGUUUGGCUGAGCUUGGUAAUAUUGUGGCUAGGCAGGGCUAUACAUAUGAAUGAAGCUGGCUCAUGUGAGGUUUCAGUUCAGGGCCUAGGCUAGGAUCCCUGCUUGUAAGAAUUUUAAACAACAGAGCUCCUGCCAUA
This is a long non-coding RNA of Lolium rigidum, 1255 nucleotides long. RefSeq lists it as uncharacterized. The record is from RefSeq and is a predicted model, not a curated record. Lineage: Eukaryota; Viridiplantae; Streptophyta; Magnoliopsida; Poales; Poaceae. The transcript is spliced from 3 exons.